UGUGGCUCCCCAGUGGAGGCGGAGAGAGAGAGAGAGGCAGAGACACAGGCAGAGGGAGAAGCAGGCUCCACGCAGGGAGCCCGAUGCGGGACUCGAUCCCGGGUCUCCAGGAUCAGGCCCUCGGCUGAAGGCGGGCGCGAAACUGCUGAGCCACCCAGGGAUCCCCCGCAUUUCGUUUUUUACACAGCUUCCGAUCCACUCAUUCAAAGUGCACAAUCAAAUGUCUUCCAGUAUAUUCAGAGUUGUGCAUCCAUACUCAUAAUCGAUUUUAGAACAUAUUGUCCCCAAAAGAAACCUCUCCUUUAGCUGUCACUCUCAAUCUCCCAUGCCCCGGCCCCCUGGGCAACCCCUCAUCUACAUGCGGUCUUUAUGGAUUUUGCCCAUUCUGCACAUUUCCUGGAAAUGCAAUCAUACAAUAUAUGGUCUUUUGUGAACGGCUUCUUACACUUAGAGUAAUGUUUUCAAGGUUUGGCCAUUUUGUAGCCUGUGUCAGUACUUCAUUGCUUUUUAUUACGAAAUUAUAUUCCAUUGUAUGAAUGUACCAUGUUUUAUUUAUCCAUCAUGAGUUGAUGGACCUUAGGACUAAUCUUAACUCCUCAGCUCUUACCAAGGUUCUGGACCUGACCCCGCCUUCCUGGCCAGCAUCCUGUUUGUUCUGCUCCCCCUCGACUCCCCCUCCCUGGGCUCCUGUGGGCUUGGCAGUCCCUUCCUCCCUUAGGCCUUCCUGCAAACUGCUCUCUGCCUUCACCACCCAUUCACUAAAUCCUGCUCCUCUUUCAGACCUCAGAUUUAAUGUCCUUUUCUCAAGAAACCUCUGACCCUUGACUGGGUGAGGGACUCCCUGAGCUAGUCUCUGGUGCCUGAAUUCUACUUUGUAGUAAUUAGUUAUAACCAAAUAAUCAGUUUUGAUUUUCUGUUAAUGUAUAAAUUACAUGGGGUCAGGGGCUUCUGUUUGCUUCUGUUACCCCUAGCACCUUGUUGGUCCUUAAUGACUAUUUUAAUACAUGUGCACCCAUGCCUACCAUGUAUCAGGCACUGUACUGUACUAGGGACACAGCCAUGAACAAAAAAACUCGCAGCUUUAUGGAGUUUACAUUCCAGUGGGAGAAUAUAGACAAAUCUAUGUCGGGUGGUGAAGAGUAUCAUGAAGAAAGAUAGAAGGGACUGCAGAGUGGUCAGAGAAGUCCUCUUAGGGACAGAGGGUCUUGCAGAUGGCCCCACUCCCAGGAGCAGAGCUGGUCCAGAGGCCACUGCAGCUCUACCGGUACCUGCUGCGCUGUUGCCAGCAGCUGCCAACCAAGGGCAUCCAGGAGCAUUACAAGCAUGCUGUCAGGCAGAGUUUCCGGGUUCAUUCAGAUGAAGACAAUCCUGAGAGAAUCCAGCAGAUUAUUAAAAGAGCCAUAGAAGAUGCAGACUGGAUCAUGAACAAAAUUCCUUUUACAUUAAAGAAGAAAGGGGGUCCCAGUGCCAGCUAGAGAUCUGACUGUCUGGUGCCUGCCCUGCUACCUCUGAGAAGCCCCUGCAGGAAGCAGCUAACACCUGCAAGAACAUGGUUCCUGGGACUUUCUGGGUCCUCCCUCCCCCACUGGCUUCCCUCACCCACUUCUAAUGAUCUCUGUCUUACAGUAUAAAAAACAAAACUGAGGCUCUAGGGCCUAGAGAACGAGUUGCCCUGAAGACAUUGACGUUGAGAGACCUCGCUUAUAGAACUACUCAGCAGCGGCACUUAUGGAAUAUGCAUUGGCCUGUUGGCCUAGAGCAGGAAAUCAGGAGUAGGAGAAGCUGACUAUUGCUCACCUGGCUCUUCUUGCCAUGUUUGUUUUCCCCAGCAUCCCUUACAUUUGCUUUUCUGGCCAGUUGCCAUGUGGACUUGGGGAUACUGUGUUUUGUCACUUUGCUCUGAAGGUGAUGCAUUUAUUCUGGAUGUUGUCCUUUGAGACCCAGAGUGGGCAUCCCCUCAGGCUGUGCUGAGAGGACACGGUGUGGGUUUUCGAACCAGUCGGGUCUGGAUUUGAAUGUCAGUUCUGCAACUUUUCAAGGGUCUUGCCUUUGAGCUCAGAUUCCUCCUUUGUGAAGAUUAAAUAUGAUGAUGUUGAAGAGCUUCAUGCAGGAUGUGAUACAUGGUAAUGCAAGUAAAUGUCCCCCCUGGGAGCGCCAUCCUCCACCACUCCUUCCUCUGGACUACGGUGCUCCAUGCAUCUCUCUGGCAUGUUCCUCAUCGGGCCCAGGUUGUUUGUGAUCUUGUCCUGCCCUGCUUGGUGUCCCUGAACUUCAGGGUCCCACCAUGCCCAGCAGUCCAUCAAGCAGCCACUCCUCUAGGCUUGGUGGGAAGUCCUUCCUUGAAGUCCAGUCCUUGCCUUUAUGGAGUUUCUUGUGACCAUGAAUUGGUGAAAUGCAGGCUGCAUGGAACAAGGAAGAAAGGCAGAGCAGCUACAGCAGACGCUAAAGCACACAGACCUCUUGUGAACCUGCAGUCUGUUCUGCUGGCCCUUCCCUUCUUUGCCACCAUCUUGGGAGGAAAAAUGGAAGUCGGGAGCAAGCAAGGAGGGAGGUGGGGAGCAAGCGUUCCUGUGAGUUAUGGUGAGCCUGAAACCCUGUGGAGAGACAGACUGGAUCGUGUCCCAAUUCCAUAGGAGUUGCUUUUGGGAACUUACCUGGCCUACUUCAGCCUUGGUUUCCCCAUCUCCUGUGGAGUGGUGCCCACACCUACCUGCCAGGGUGGGAGUGAGGACUAUGGAGCUCUCAUGCGUGCGAGGGGCUUCAUACAGAAGCUGGCUCAGGGAGCUGCCUGCAUGGCUGUGGCCAGUUACCACAGCGAGGAAGCCCUGCUUUGCAGAUGGGGAGAUGGAAGCACAGGCAGUUUGAGCCCCUUUUCAGCAAAGGAGCAGCCAAAAGCAGAAAAGUCGCACUAGGACUUGAAUAUCUCCAAGGACUCUCAGCCAGAGGGAUGAGCCAGCAUGUUUGUGACCUGCCAUGAAUUAUAUGACUUAAAGUUACUCAGAGACAUCUGUAUGCACUUCACUGAUCAGCAAGUAAUGAAGUAAAUAUAUCAGUUUU
RNAcentral lists this long non-coding RNA (3057 nucleotides) under Canis lupus familiaris (dog). RNAcentral's name for it is "lncRNA (ENSCAFG00000051228.1)". Lineage: Eukaryota; Metazoa; Chordata; Mammalia; Carnivora; Canidae. The record is from RNAcentral.